UAUUGCACAAUGGGCGAAAGCCUGAUGCAGCAACGCAGCGUGAGUGAUGAAGGCCUUCGGGUUGUAAAGCUCUGUCUUCUGGGACGAUAAUGACGGUACCAGAGGAGGAGGCCACGGCUAACUACGUGCCAGCAGCCGCGGUAAUACGUAGGUGGCAAGCGUUGUCCGGCUUUACUGGGCGUAAAGGAUGCGUAGGCGGAUACUUAAGUCAGAUGUGAAAAUCCCGGGCUUAACUUGGGAACUGCAUUUGAAACUGGGUAUCUAGAGUGCGGGAGAGGAAAGUGGAAUUCCUAGUGUAGCGGUGAAAUGCGUAGAGAUUAGGAAGAACACCAGUGGCGAAGGCGACUUUCUGGACCGUAACUGACGCUGAGGCAUGAAAGCGUGGGGAGCAAACA
This 395-nucleotide ribosomal RNA is filed under the name uncultured bacterium. RNAcentral's name for it is "bacterial SSU rRNA". It matches the Rfam family "Bacterial small subunit ribosomal RNA", at positions 362 to 774 of the family's 1533-position model. The record is from RNAcentral.